This 253-nucleotide ribosomal RNA is filed under the name uncultured bacterium. Its description in RNAcentral is "partial 16S ribosomal RNA". It matches the Rfam family "Bacterial small subunit ribosomal RNA", at positions 524 to 776 of the family's 1533-position model. The record is from RNAcentral.
UACGAAGGGGGCUAGCGUUGUUCGGAAUUACUGGGCGUAAAGCGUGCGCAGGCGGCUUCUCAAGUCAGGUGUGAAAGCCCAGAGCUCAACUCUGGAAUUGCCUUUGAGACUGAGUGGCUUGAGUACGAGAGAGGUGAGUGGAAUUCCCAGUGUAGAGGUGGAAUGCGCAGAUAUCAGGAAGAACACCAACGGCGAAGGCAGCUCGCUGGGACGGAACUGACGCUAAGGCGCGAAAGCGUGGGGAGCGAACAGG